Molecule: long non-coding RNA, 2048 nt
Organism: Cavia porcellus (domestic guinea pig)
Lineage: Eukaryota; Metazoa; Chordata; Mammalia; Rodentia; Caviidae
Exons: 3
Source: RefSeq, a predicted model, not a curated record
UAAUUUAUGAAAGGAGGCAUGUAUUAGCCUAGUAGGGCCCAGGGGUUCUGAUAAGGACCCUUAGCAGCCUUGUAGAGGGGUUGAGCUAGGGCUGCAAAGUUAGGAAUUCAGAGACAAAAGAAAUUAGCUAAACCUAGGAAAGAUGUAACCUGUUGUUUAGUUGUGGGCACCUGGAGAUCAUGAAGAAUUGCCUUACGAUCUGAGGUGAUGGCACAAGUGGUAGGGGUGAGAGCGAGACCUAGGUAUUUGACUUUUGGGGAGGCUAUCUGGGCUUUAGCAGAAGAGACCCAGGAUCUACGACUAGCAAGGAAAUUAAGAAGACUGGCUGAAUGGUGUAUGGCUAACAUAUGGGAUGGAGAACAUAAUAGAAGGUCGUCUAUGUAUUGAAGAAGAACGCUAGGUUUGAGAUCAAGUUCUAUGAGCAUGAAAGAAAAAAGACAAAAAAAGGCAUGUAUCAAAUAUUAAUAUACUAGUGAAUGAAGAGGAAAAAUUAUCUAAAUCAGAGCUGCCUGAACUUCUGCUGAUGCAACUUGCUGGAACCUCAAUGGCACUUAAGUCAGAGUUUGGUGAGUCCCAACAGAGAACAGAGCUGGCAAGGGACCUGCAUUGACCCGUGGUGAAUGCUGGGAAUAAGACGCUCCCAGGGGAAAGAGGCAACCACCUGGAUGACAUGUUGGAAUCUGGCAGGACUAGCGGGAACAAUCAUCAGCAGUGACACCAGUCAGUUGUUCCCUUCCCAGACCAGAUUGGUGGGAUAUGCUUGACCUGAGUCACACCCCUGGCCAGGACCCAAUAAAUUGCCCCAAACCAAUUCUGUACACAUGGCACACACUAAUGCAGUGAAAACCCCACAGGCUGACUGACCCAAGGGGAGGGGCCAGCAUACGCAGCCUCUGUUUGCACCUCAGUGAUCAACAGUUAACUGGAGAGGGCAGAAAUCCCUAGUCAGCAUGCUUCAGAAGAACUAUAACCAACAAGGAAAGGGGCUGGAAGCUCCUCUAUACACCUGUAUGGAAGAAACCAAAAACAUGAUAUGAGAAAGAAACAAGAAAAAGUCCCCAGCCCUCAGCCUUGAGAACAUUGAUCCAGGAGAGGUAAAUACAAAAGAGAUUGAGGACAGCAAACAUGCAAUAUCAGACACAGCAUCAGUAGAAUAAAGACACAUCUUCAGGACCUCAUAGACAAGCUCAAAAGUGAAAUAUUUAAUCAAAUAAAGCCAUAUGUAAGUAGAUUAAUAAAAGAAAUGCUAAGCACCUCUCAAGAAGGCACAGAUGGAAGAAUGGAAGAGCACAAAAAAUGGAGAGAAAUGUUCGAUGAAGAAUAUAAAGAAAACCUAGAAUACAUGAAACAGAUUCAAAAAGAUUACCAGGAAAUAAACUCCAUUGAAAGCUGGCAAAACUGCUUGAAAGAAACUAAGGAUAGACUAUCAAAACUUGAAGACAGUUUUGCAAAGUGUGAUUAUGAAAGGAAAAAUUUCUUAAAAAUAACAAGGAAACAGGCAGUAACAAUACAAAGGCUAAAAGAUGACAAGAGAAUCUAUAACUUAAGAAUAAAGAAUGUAAAUGCAUAAGCAGGAGUAAAAACAAAGGAAAUACAAAGGCUAUUCACAGAAAUAAUUAAGGAAAACUUCCCAAGCAUAGUAAAAGGAAAUAAUAUUCAGAUGUAUGAGGUAUACAGAACUCCAGCCGGCAACAACCAAAACAGAGCUACACCCAGGCAUAUAAUAAUUAAGAUCCCAGAAAUUCAAUAUAAGAACAGAAUAUUAAAAGCCAUCAGAGAGAAGAAACAGAUCACCUAUAAAGGAAAACCCAUCAAAAUCAUGUCAGAGUUCUUAACACAGACCAUCAAAUCAAAAAGAGCUUAGAGCAAAGUAUUCCAAGCCCUGAAAGAAAAUAACCUCCAGCCCAGAUUGAUGUACCCUGCAAAAUGUCUCUAGAAAUUAAUGGAGAAACAAGAUGCUUCCAAGACAAAGAGGAACUGGGGGAAUUCACAGCCACUAAUCCAACCCUACAGAGAAUGCUGAAGGACAUUCUGGAGAGAGAAAAGAG